Molecule: ribosomal RNA, 243 nt
Filed under: uncultured bacterium
Lineage: Bacteria
Description: partial 16S ribosomal RNA
Rfam family: Bacterial small subunit ribosomal RNA
Source: RNAcentral
UACGAGCGGCGGACGGGUGAGUAACGCGUGGGUAACCUGCCUCAUACAGGGGGAUAACAGUUGGAAACGGCUGCUAAUACCGCAUAAGCGCACAGUACCGCAUGGUACGGUGUGAAAAACUCCGGUGGUAUGAGAUGGACCCGCGUCUGAUUAGGUAGUUGGUGGGGUAACGGCCUACCAAGCCGACGAUCAGUAGCCGACCUGAGAGGGUGACCGGCCACAUUGGGACUGAGACACGGCCAA